CCUACGGGAGGCAGCAGUAAGGAAUAUUGGUCAAUGGACGAAAGUCUGAACCAGCCAUGCCGCGUGAAGGAUUAAGGCCCUCUGGGUUGUAAACUUCUUUUAUCUGGGACGAAAAAAGGGUAUUCUUACUCACUUGACGGUACCAGAGGAAUAAGCACCGGCUAACUCCGUGCCAGCAGCCGCGGUAAUACGGAGGGUGCAAGCGUUAUCCGGAUUUACUGGGUUUAAAGGGUGCGUAGGUGGGCUUGUAAGUCAGUGGUGAAAUCUCCGGGCUUAACCCGGAAACUGCCAUUGAUACUAUAGGUCUUGAAUUAUCUGGAGGUAAGCGGAAUAUGUCAUGUAGCGGUGAAAUGCUUAGAUAUGACAUAGAACACCAAUUGCGAAGGCAGCUCACUACGGAUAUAUUGACACUGAGGCACGAAAGCGUGGGGAUCAAACAGGAUUAGAUACCCUGGUAGUCCACGCCCUAAACCGAUGGAUACUCGACAUCAGCGAUACACUGUUGGUGUCUGAGCGAAAGCAUUAAGUAUCCACCUGGGAAGUACGAUCGCAAGAUUGAAACUCAAAGGAAUUGACGGCUGAGAGAGCGAGACGACGACGAGGGAGGAGG
Molecule: ribosomal RNA, 610 nt
Filed under: uncultured bacterium
Lineage: Bacteria
Description: bacterial SSU rRNA
Rfam family: Bacterial small subunit ribosomal RNA
Source: RNAcentral